Molecule: ribosomal RNA, 274 nt
Filed under: uncultured bacterium
Lineage: Bacteria
Description: partial 16S ribosomal RNA
Rfam family: Bacterial small subunit ribosomal RNA
Source: RNAcentral
AUACAGGGGGUGCGAGCGUUAAUCGGAAUUACUGGGCGUAAAGAGUACGUAGGCGGUUGCUUAAGUCAGAUGUGAAAGCCCCGGGCUCAACCUGGGAACUGCAUUUGAAACUGAGUGACUAGAGUUUAAGAGAGGGGAGUAGAAUUCCGGGUGUAGCGGUGAAAUGCGUAGAGAUCCGGAGGAAUACCAGUGGCGAAGGCGGCUCCCUGGCUUAAAACUGACGCUGAGGUGCGAAAGCGUGGGUAGCAAACGGGAUUAGAAACCCCGGUAGUCC